RNAcentral lists this ribosomal RNA (515 nucleotides) under uncultured bacterium. RNAcentral's name for it is "partial 16S ribosomal RNA". It matches the Rfam family "Bacterial small subunit ribosomal RNA", at positions 28 to 523 of the family's 1533-position model. The record is from RNAcentral.
GAUGAACGCUGGCGGCGUGCCUAAUACAUGCAAGUCGAGCGAAUGGAUUAAGAGCUUGCUCUUAUGAAGUUAGCGGCGGACGGGUGAGUAACACGUGGGUAACCUGCCCAUAAGACAGGGAUAACUCCGGGAAACCGGGGCUAAUACCGGAUAACAUUUUGAACCGCAUGGUUCGAAAUUGAAAGGCGGCUUCGGCUGUCACUUAUGGAUGGAACCGCGUCGCAUUAGCUAGUUGGUGAGGUAACGGCUCACCAAGGCAACGAUGCGUAGCCGACCUGAGAGGGUGAUCGGCCACACUAGGACUGAGACACGGCCCAGACUCCUACGGGAGGCAGCAGUAGGGAAUCUUCCGCAAUGGACGAAAGUCUGACGGAGCAACGCCGCGUGAGUGAUGAAGGCUUUCGGGUCGUAAAACUCUGUUGUUAGGGAAGAACAAGUGCUAGUUGAAUAAGCUGGCACCUUGACGGUACCUAACCAGAAAGCCACGGCUAACUACGUGCCAGCAGCCGCAGUAA